This 787-nucleotide ribosomal RNA is filed under the name uncultured Bacillota bacterium. Its description in RNAcentral is "bacterial SSU rRNA". It matches the Rfam family "Bacterial small subunit ribosomal RNA", at positions 49 to 803 of the family's 1533-position model. Lineage: Bacteria; Bacillati; Bacillota. The record is from RNAcentral.
UAACACAUGCAAGUCGAACGCAAGGACGGAAAGAGCUUGCUCUUUUCAGAAUUGAGUGGCAAACGGGUGAGUAACACGUAAACAACCUGCCUUCAGGAUGGGGACAACAGACGGAAACGACUGCUAAUACCGAAUAAGUUCCAAGAGCCGCAUGGCCCAUGGAAGAAAAGGUGGCCUCUACCUGUAAGCUAUCGCCUGAAGAGGGGUUUGCGUCUGAUUAGCUGGUAGGAGGGGUAACGGCCCACCAAGGCGACGAUCAGUAGCCGGUCUGAGAGGAUGAACGGCCACACUGGAACUGAGACACGGUCCAGACUCCUACGGGAGGCAGCAGUGGGGAAUCUUCCGCAAUGGGCGAAAGCCUGACGGAGCAACGCCGCGUGAGUGAUGACGGCCUUCGGGUUGUAAAACUCUGUGAUCCGGGACGAAAAGGCAGAGUGCGAAGAACAAACUGCGUUGACGGUACCGGAAAAGCAAGCCACGGCUAACUACGUGCCAGCAGCCGCGGUAAUACGUAGGUGGCAAGCGUUGUCCGGAAUUAUUGGGCGUAAAGCGCGCGCAGGCGGCUUCCCAAGUCCCUCUUAAAAGUGCGGGGCUUAACCCCGUGAUGGGAAGGAAACUGGGAAGCUGGAGUAUCGGAGAGGAAAGUGGAAUUCCUAGUGUAGCGGUGAAAUGCGUAGAGAUUAGGAAGAACACCGGUGGCGAAAGCGACUUUCUGGACGAAAACUGACGCUGAGGCGCGAAAGCGUGGGGAGCAAACAGGAUUAGAUACCCUGGUAGUCCACGCCGU